This 442-nucleotide ribosomal RNA is filed under the name uncultured bacterium. RNAcentral's name for it is "bacterial SSU rRNA". It matches the Rfam family "Bacterial small subunit ribosomal RNA", at positions 29 to 517 of the family's 1533-position model. The record is from RNAcentral.
AACGAACGCUGGCGGCAUGCCUAACACAUGCAAGUCGAACGAGACCUUCGGGUCUAGUGGCGCACGGGUGCGUAACGCGUGGGAAUCUGCCCUUGGGUUCGGAAUAACAGUUAGAAAUGACUGCUAAUACCGGAUAAUGUCUUCGGACCAAAGAUUUAUCGCCCAGGGAUGAGCCCGCGUAGGAUUAGCUAGUUGGUGAGGUAAAGGCUCACCAAGGCGACGAUCCUUAGCUGGUCUGAGAGGAUGAUCAGCCACACUGGGACUGAGACACGGCCCAGACUCCUACGGGAGGCAGCAGUGGGGAAUAUUGGACAAUGGGCGAAAGCCUGAUCCAGCAAUGCCGCGUGAGUGAUGAAGGCCUUAGGGUUGUAAGCUCUUUUACCCGGGAUGAUAAUGACAGUACCGGGAGAAUAAGCCCCGGCUAACUCCGUGCCAGCAGCCG